GACGAACGCUGGUGGCGUGCUUAACACAUGCAAGUCGAACGGGAUUUAGUAAACAGACGCCUCGGUGGAAGAUUACUAAUGAGAGUGGCGAACGGGUGAGUAACGCGUGAGCAACCUGCCUAUGACAGUGGGAUAGCCUCGGGAAACCGGGAUUAAUACCGCAUCAAAUCGUAGAAACACAUGUUUUAACGGUCAAAGAUUUAUCGGUCAUAGAUGGGCUCGCGUCUGAUUAGCUAGUUGGUGAGAUAACAGCCCACCAAGGCGACGAUCAGUAGCCGGUCUGGGAGGAUGACCCGCCACAUUGGAACUGAGGCACGGUCCAAACUCCUACGGGAGGCAGCAGUGGGGAAUAGUGCACAAGGGGGGAAACCCUGAUGCAGCGACGCCGCGUGAACGAAGAAGGGAUUCGUAUCGUAAAGUUCUGUCCUAUGGGAAGAUAAUGACAGUACCAUAGAAGAAAGCACCGGCUAAAUACGUG
This 478-nucleotide ribosomal RNA is filed under the name uncultured bacterium. RNAcentral describes it as "partial 16S ribosomal RNA". It matches the Rfam family "Bacterial small subunit ribosomal RNA", at positions 28 to 507 of the family's 1533-position model. The record is from RNAcentral.